Molecule: long non-coding RNA, 390 nt
Organism: Macadamia integrifolia
Lineage: Eukaryota; Viridiplantae; Streptophyta; Magnoliopsida; Proteales; Proteaceae
Exons: 4
Source: RefSeq, a predicted model, not a curated record
GUGUGACUAUAUUCAGCCUCAUCCAUUUACAUUGAUGCAAACUAUGAAACAAAUGAAUCGUUGCCUAUUAUGAUGGAUUACUUCUUCCUGUAUACAGAUCAUGAAUGCAUAUUGGACAGGAUAGUAAGGAUACUUCACAACUAGGCCAGCCUUCAAAGGUUAUGUCAGAAUGAUGAGAGGUUGCUAUUUGUUAGUGGUACACAAAGCCACAAAGGUAACAUGUGGCUGAUGAUUAUGCAAAACGCUUGGCGAUGUGCUAUCUAGAGGCUGAGGAGUUUGUUGCAUCUUCACUAGCUUGCUUGGAUGGGUCGAGAUCAAAGCCUGGAUGUGAGAGUAUAGCUACUGAAUUUCAACAGGCAAAGUAUUAUAAGCCUUUGUUUUUCUGCGGUG